AUUUCGGAUAGAGGCGCAGACCUCAUAAGUAGCAGUUUGCAUUACGCCGCUCGUACGGCGCGGAUUGCGAAAGGGUGGUUUGCCGAAACGGCGCGGUUUUCGAGAAUCGCGAUUCGUUGGGCGACGGAACAAUAUUUCGUCGACUGUCGUUUGUUUGCAAACGGAGGGCUAUCGUGAUA
Molecule: non-coding RNA, 179 nt
Organism: Acidiphilium sp. CAG:727
Lineage: Bacteria; Pseudomonadati; Pseudomonadota; Alphaproteobacteria; Acetobacterales; Acidocellaceae
Source: Rfam